RNAcentral lists this ribosomal RNA (497 nucleotides) under uncultured bacterium. Its description in RNAcentral is "partial 16S ribosomal RNA". It matches the Rfam family "Bacterial small subunit ribosomal RNA", at positions 28 to 507 of the family's 1533-position model. The record is from RNAcentral.
GAUGAACGCUGGCGGCGUGCCUAAUACAUGCAAGUCGAGCGAACGGACGAGAAGCUUGCUUCUCUGAUGUUAGCGGCGGACGGGUGAGUAAAACGUGGAUAACCUAUCUAUAAGACUGGGAUAACUUCGGGAAACCGUAGCUAAUACCGGAUAAUAUUUUGAACCGCAUGGUUCAAAAGUGAAAGACGGUCUUGCUGUCACUUAUAGAUGGAUCCGCGCUGCAUUAGCUAGUUGGUAAGGUAACGGCUUACCAAGGCAACGAUGCAUAGCCGACCUGAGAGGGUGAUCGGCCACACUGGAACUGAGACACGGUCCAGACUCCUACGGGAGGCAGCAGUAGGGAAUCUUCCGCAAUGGGCGAAAGCCUGACGGAGCAACGCCGCGUGAGUGAUGAAGGUCUUCGGAUCGUAAAACUCUGUUAUUAGGGAAGAACAUAUGUGUAAGUAACUGUGCACAUCUUGACGGUACCUAAUCAGAAAGCCACGGCUAACUACGUG